GAUGAACGCUGGCGGCGUGCCUAAUACAUGCAAGUCGAACGAAACUUCUUUAUCACCGAGUGCUUGCACUCACCGAUAAAGAGUUGAGUGGCGAACGGGUGAGUAACACGUGGGCAACCUGCCCAAAAGAGGGGGAUAACACUUGGAAACAGGUGCUAAUACCGCAUAACCAUAGUUACCGCAUGGUAACUAUGUAAAAGGUGGCUAUACUACCGCUUUUGGAUGGGCCCGCGGCGCAUUAGCUAGUUGGUAGGGUAAAGGCUUACCAAGGCAAUGAUGCGUAGCCGAAUUGAGAGGUUGAUCGGCCACAUUGGGACUGAGACACGGCCCAAACUCCUACGGGAGGCAGCAGUAGGGAAUCUUCCACAAUGGGCGAAAGCCUGAUGGAGCAACGCCGCGUGGGUGAAGAAGGUCUUCGGAUCGUAAAACCCUGUUGUUAGAGAAGAAAGUGCGUGAGAGUAACUGUUCACGUUUCGACGGUAUCUAACCAGUAAGCCACGGCUAACUACGUG
Molecule: ribosomal RNA, 512 nt
Filed under: uncultured bacterium
Lineage: Bacteria
Description: partial 16S ribosomal RNA
Rfam family: Bacterial small subunit ribosomal RNA
Source: RNAcentral